UUGAACGCUGGCGGCAUGCCUUACACAUGCAAGUCGAACGGUAACGCGGGGCAACCUGGCGACGAGUGGCGAACGGGUGAGUAAUACAUCGGAACGUGCCCAGUAGUGGGGGAUAGCCCGGCGAAAGCCGGAUUAAUACCGCAUACGACCUAAGGGUGAAAGCGGGGGACCUUCGGGCCUCGCGCGAUUGGAGCGGCUGAUGUCGGAUUAGCUAGUUGGUGGGGUAAAGGCCUACCAAGGCGACGAUCCGUAGCUGGUCUGAGAGGAUGAUCAGCCACACUGGGACUGAGACACGGCCCAGACUCCUACGGGAGGCAGCAGUGGGGAAUUUUGGACAAUGGGCGCAAGCCUGAUCCAGCCAUGCCGCGUGAGUGAAGAAGGCCUUCGGGUUGUAAAGCUCUUUCAGACGGAAAGAAAUCGGGCGCGUGAAUAGCGUGCCUGGAUGACGGUACUGUCAGAAGAAGCACCGGCUAACUACGU
RNAcentral lists this ribosomal RNA (480 nucleotides) under uncultured bacterium. Its description in RNAcentral is "bacterial SSU rRNA". It matches the Rfam family "Bacterial small subunit ribosomal RNA", at positions 29 to 506 of the family's 1533-position model. The record is from RNAcentral.